GGGGAUAUAACUCAAUUGGUAGAGUGUAUGCUUUGCAAGCAUGAAGUUAUCGGUUCGAGCCCGAUUAUCUCCA
This 73-nucleotide transfer RNA is filed under the name Nitzschia palea. RNAcentral's name for it is "tRNA-Ala". It matches the Rfam family "tRNA". Rfam says of the family: Transfer RNA (tRNA) molecules are approximately 80 nucleotides in length. Their secondary structure includes four short double-helical elements and three loops (D, anti-codon, and T loops). The record is from RNAcentral. Lineage: Eukaryota; Bacillariophyta; Bacillariophyceae; Bacillariales; Bacillariaceae.